UACGUAGGGGGCUAGCGUUGUCCGGAAUCAUUGGGCGUAAAGAGCGUGUAGGCGGCCAGGCAGGUCCGUUGUGAAAACUCGAGGCUCAACCUCGAGAUGUCGAUGGAAACCGUCUGGCUAGAGUCCGGAAGAGGAGUGUGGAAUUCCUGGUGUAGCGGUGAAAUGCGCAGAUAUCAGGAAGAACACCUAUGGCGAAGGCAGCACUCUGGGACGGUACUGACGCUGAGACGCGAAAGCGUGGGGAGCGAACAGG
Molecule: ribosomal RNA, 253 nt
Filed under: uncultured bacterium
Lineage: Bacteria
Description: partial 16S ribosomal RNA
Rfam family: Bacterial small subunit ribosomal RNA
Source: RNAcentral